GCGAUGACCAGUUCGGCCAGAACUGCCAGAAGCGUUGUUCCGACACCAAUCCCGACCCUGAGUCGAAAACCUGUUCUGGCAUCAUGAUCUGUCUUCCCGAUCCUUAUGGCUGUUCUUGCGGAACUGGGUUCAAAGGUCCCUUCUGCAACGAAACGUGUUCUCCACACGAAUACGGCGCCGACUGCAAUCAGAACCGCAUCUGUUUCUGCAAAAUGGGCAGCACUUGCAAUGGCUUCACUGGAACCUGCUUACAAGACAAUGGACAAUGUCUCGACGGAUGGAAGAACUCACCUUACUGCGAUAUCAGCUACCCCCUUCUUAGGGACAAACCCGAGCUUGAAGAUGUAACAGACACCAGAGCCAAAGUGUCGUGGGACGCCUGGAUGUCUGGACCAGAAACAGGAGAAGGAGUACCUAACGCGUACUUGCUACAGC
Long non-coding RNA from Ornithodoros turicata, 435 nucleotides. RefSeq lists it as uncharacterized. Lineage: Eukaryota; Metazoa; Arthropoda; Arachnida; Ixodida; Argasidae. The record is from RefSeq and is a predicted model, not a curated record. The transcript is spliced from 3 exons.